GAGUUUGAUCCUGGCUCAGAAUGAACGUUGGCGGCGUGGAUUAGGCAUGCAAGUCGAGCGAGAAGUGACCCUUCGGGGGAGCGGACAGCGGCGAACGGCGUAGUAAUAGAUAGGUAACGUGCCCCAAGGUCUGGGAUAGCUGCGGGAAACUGCAGGUAAUACCGGAUAAUCUCCUGAAGUCUAGUGGCUUUUGGAGCAAAGGUGAGAUUCCGUCUUGGGAGCGGCUUAUUGAGUAUUAGCUUGUUGGUGGGGUAACGGCCCACCAAGGCUUCGAUGCUUAGGGGGUGUUAGCGCAUGACCCCCACGACUGGGACUGAGAUACUGCCCAGACACCUACGGGUGGCUGCAGUCGAGAAUCUUCGGCAAUGGACGAAAGUCUGACCGAGCGACGCCGCGUGCGGGAUGAAGGCCCUUGGGUUGUAAACCGCUGUCAGAGGGGAUGAAAUUCUAGAGGGCUAUCCCUCUAGAUUGACAGAGCCUCAGAGGAAGCACGGGCUAAGUACGUGCCAGCAGCCGCGGUAAUA
This 524-nucleotide ribosomal RNA is filed under the name uncultured bacterium. Its description in RNAcentral is "bacterial SSU rRNA". It matches the Rfam family "Bacterial small subunit ribosomal RNA", at positions 9 to 525 of the family's 1533-position model. The record is from RNAcentral.